Molecule: transfer RNA, 59 nt
Filed under: Candidatus Omnitrophota bacterium
Lineage: Bacteria; Pseudomonadati; Candidatus Omnitrophota
Description: Candidatus Omnitrophica bacterium (hot springs metagenome) tRNA-Arg
Rfam family: tRNA
About the family: Transfer RNA (tRNA) molecules are approximately 80 nucleotides in length. Their secondary structure includes four short double-helical elements and three loops (D, anti-codon, and T loops).
Source: RNAcentral
UAGCUCAAUUGGAUAGAGCGCCAGUCUUCGGAACUGGAUGUUGCAGGUUCAAUUCCUGC